Molecule: ribosomal RNA, 556 nt
Filed under: uncultured bacterium
Lineage: Bacteria
Description: partial 16S ribosomal RNA
Rfam family: Bacterial small subunit ribosomal RNA
Source: RNAcentral
UGGGGAAUUUUGGACAAUGGGCGAAAGCCUGAUCCAGCAAUGCCGCGUGUGUGAAGAAGGCCUUCGGGUUGUAAAGCACUUUUGUCCGGAAAGAAAUCCUUGGCUCUAAUACAGUCGGGGGAUGACGGUACCGGAAGAAUAAGCACCGGCUAACUACGUGCCAGCAGCCGCGGUAAUACGUAGGGUGCAAGCGUUAAUCGGAAUUACUGGGCGUAAAGCGUGCGCAGGCGGUUUGCUAAGACCGAUGUGAAACCCCCGGGCUCAACCUGGGAACUGCAUUGGUGACUGGCAGGCUAGAGUAUGGCAGAGGGGGGUAGAAUUCCACGUGUAGCAGUGAAAUGCGUAGAGAUGUGGAGGAAUACCGAUGGCGAAGGCAGCCCCCUGGGCCAAUACUGACGCUCAUGCACGAAAGCGUGGGGAGCAAACAGGAUUAGAUACCCUGGGUAGUCCACGCCCUAAACGAUGUCAACUAGUUGUUGGGGAUUCAUUUCCUUAGUAACGUAGCUAACGCGUGAAGUUGACCGCCUGGGGGAGUACGGUCGCAAGAUUAAAACUC